AAUUUCAUAUAUGUGCCUGUGUGUAUUUAUACUUGUUUAGAAAUGAAAUAGGAAGCACCAGAGCUUGAGGAAAUAGUAGUGUCUAUCAAGGAUUGACUUCUAACUUUGGUUCUAUAGUUAAAAUUGUGACAUUCUUAGCUUCUGAAAAGAUAACAUGAAAAAACAAAAAUUGGUUGAAAUUCUUUCAGCUGUGAAUUUUAUAAGCAUUUUGGUGAAUAUAGAUAAAGUUGUUGAUUUGUGCAGGGUUCACAGACAAAAGAAUGUGGCAUCCCUAUCAAAAUCUUGUGAUGAUAUUUUUAAUCAGCUUCUGCAGCGUGGUGUUUCCCCAGACCAGCUUUACGAUACCAUUUGCAAGCAGGAGGUCGAGAUUGUUCUUACUGUACAUCCUACACAAAUUAAUCACGGAACCUUACAAUACAAACAUAUCAGACUUUCUCGUCUUUUAAAUUAAAGAGACCGACCUGAUCUUACUAGUGAAGACAGAGAUAUGGUGAUUGAAGACCUGGUGCGAGAGAUAACUUCUGUAUGGCAAACAGAUGAGCUUAGGCACCAUAAACCCACACUAGGUGAUGAAGCUAGGGCAGGUAAAGGUCACAAAAGAUGUCUCACUUUUAUCUAGGUGGAUGACUAUUGAUCUCUAUAUUCGAGAAGUGGAUAUAUAGCCUGAAAUUUGAACUAUCCAUGAAUAGGUGCAGCGAUAUCUUGUCAAAACUGGCACAAGAGAUUCUAGAACACG
Molecule: long non-coding RNA, 736 nt
Organism: Rosa chinensis
Lineage: Eukaryota; Viridiplantae; Streptophyta; Magnoliopsida; Rosales; Rosaceae
Exons: 5
Source: RefSeq, a predicted model, not a curated record